RNAcentral lists this ribosomal RNA (242 nucleotides) under uncultured bacterium. RNAcentral's name for it is "partial 16S ribosomal RNA". It matches the Rfam family "Bacterial small subunit ribosomal RNA", at positions 796 to 1041 of the family's 1533-position model. RNAcentral also lists the same sequence under 1 other name. The record is from RNAcentral.
CACGCGGUAAACGAUGAUUACUGGCUGUUCGCGAUACACUGUGAGCGGCCCAGCGAAAGCGUUAAGUAAUCCACCUGGGGAGUACGUUCGCAAGAAUGAAACUCAAAGGAAUUGACGGGGGCCCGCACAAGCGGAGGAACAUGUGGUUUAAUUCGAUGAUACGCGAGGAACCUUACCCGGGCUUGAAAUGCGGACGACCGGCGGUGAGACCCGCCUUCCUUUCGGGGCGUCCGCGUAGGUGC